This 441-nucleotide ribosomal RNA is filed under the name uncultured bacterium. RNAcentral describes it as "partial 16S ribosomal RNA". It matches the Rfam family "Bacterial small subunit ribosomal RNA", at positions 339 to 795 of the family's 1533-position model. The record is from RNAcentral.
CUACGGGAGGCUGCAGUGGGGAAUAUUGGGCAAUGGGCGCAAGCCUGACCCAGCAACGCCGCGUGAGGGAAGAAGGUUUUCGGAUUGUAAACCUCUGUCCUUGGGGACGAAGAAGUGACGGUACCCAAGGAGGAAGCUCCGGCUAACUACGUGCCAGCAGCCGCGGUAAUACGUAGGGAGCGAGCGUUGUCCGGAAUUACUGGGCGUAACGGGUGCGUAGGCGGCAUAUUAAGUCAGGUGUGAAAUACCCGGGCUCAACCCGGGGGGUGCAUUUGAAACGGAUACGCUUGAGUGUGAGAGAGGAAAGUGGAAUUCCUAGUGUAGCGGUGAAAUGCGUAGAUAUUAGGAGGAACACCAGUGGCGAAGGCGACUUUCUGGCUCAUAACUGACGCUGAGGCACGAAAGCGUGGGGAGCAAACAGGAUUAGAUACCCCCGUAGUC